RNAcentral lists this ribosomal RNA (742 nucleotides) under uncultured bacterium. RNAcentral describes it as "bacterial SSU rRNA". It matches the Rfam family "Bacterial small subunit ribosomal RNA", at positions 8 to 796 of the family's 1533-position model. The record is from RNAcentral.
AGAGUUUGAUCAUGGCUCAGAACGAACGCUGGCGGCAUGCCUAACACAUGCAAGUCGAACGAGACCUUCGGGUCUAGUGGCGCACGGGUGCGUAACGCGUGGGAACCUGCCUUUAGGUUCGGAAUAACUCAGAGAAAUUUGAGCUAAUACCGGAUAAUGUCUUCGGACCAAAGAUUUAUCGCCUUUAGAUGGGCCCGCGUUGGAUUAGCUAGUUGGUGGGGUAAAGGCCUACCAAGGCGACGAUCCAUAGCUGGUCUGAGAGGAUGAUCAGCCACACUGGGACUGAGACACGGCCCAGACUCCUACGGGAGGCAGCAGUGGGGAAUAUUGGACAAUGGGCGAAAGCCUGAUCCAGCAAUGCCGCGUGAGUGAUGAAGGCCUUAGGGUUGUAAAGCUCUUUUACUGGGGAUGAUAAUGACAGUACCCAGAGAAUAAGCUCCGGCUAACUCCGUGCCAGCAGCCGCGGUAAUACGGAGGGAGCUAGCGUUGUUCGGAAUUACUGGGCGUAAAGCGCACGUAGGCGGCUUUUUAAGUCAGGGGUGAAAUCCCGGGGCUCAACCCCGGAACUGCCCUUGAAACUGGGAAGCUAGAAUCUUGGAGAGGCGAGUGGAAUUCCGAGUGUAGAAGUGAAAUUCGUAGAUAUUCGGAAGAACACCAGUGGCGAAGGCGACUCGCUGGACAAGUAUUGACGCUGAGGUGCGAAAGCAUGGGGAGCAAACAGGAUUAGAUACCCUGGUAGUCC